This is a long non-coding RNA of Cucurbita maxima (winter squash), 275 nucleotides long. RefSeq lists it as uncharacterized. The record is from RefSeq and is a predicted model, not a curated record. Lineage: Eukaryota; Viridiplantae; Streptophyta; Magnoliopsida; Cucurbitales; Cucurbitaceae. The transcript is spliced from 2 exons.
UCUUUAUUAUAGACAAAUAUCUUGUAUGAUAUUUAGCCUUCCAUUACAGUUUACCAUAGGUAUCAUAUUUGACCAUUUAUUAUAGACAAAUAUCUUGUAUGAUAUUUAGCUUUCCAUUUCGGUUUACCAUAGGUAUCAUGUUUGACCCUUUAUUAUAGACGAAUAUCUUGUAUGAUAUUUAGCCUUCCAUUACGGUUUACCAUAAGUAUCAUAUUUGACCCUUUAUUAUAGACAAAUAUUUUGUAUGAUAUUUAGCCUUCCAUUACAGUUUACCA